CAUUUAUAGGUUUCUGGGGUGCAUAUUUGUUGCUUGUACACGUACUUAGAUUGGCUACCAAAUGAAAUCAAUAUGCAUUGCAUAGUGAACCUUUCCUUAGUGCCAUUGUCCCUCCCCCCCGAAAUUGGCCCAUCUGUACUGUUUUCACUGGCUUCCCAAUGGAAUUACUAUGAAGCCUCAUUAAUGCGUUUUCUACCUCCAUACGUACAUGCAUACAGUCAAGAUAAUCUCUCUUUACCAUAAGUGUCACCUGUGCAGGUUCAAUAUAAUAGUAUAUAUAAUUUAUGCCUCUUUACCAUUCGCAUACAUCACAGUAGCCUCGAUUCAAGGCCUUGAAUCGAGGCUAACAUCACAGGUUCUGGACAGCAAUUCAUUUGAGGAGCUUGCCUCGUACCCCGGCCUCCAUGCCAACGUCUGAGCAUGCCGUUUCAGAAGGAGAACUUUGUGAUGAUCCAGUCCAAUCGUGUGAGGAAGCCACAAAGCUCUGCCUUCCUCUCGGGUCGUCUAGAUCUCUCCCUGUCCACCUUCACCCAUCCCUCUAUUUUCUAUACUCUAUGAUCUAUGGUUGCAGUGAGCAACAAUUAAGAUUCACUGUUACAGUAUAGAUUGAUGAGGAGGAACGUGGUUGGAGUGCAGAGAAUGGCCCCCCACCCCACUCUGGCUUAUUAUCUGAUUAGCUGUAUAUAUGGAUGGCUCCGUGGUGAUGUGGGUGUUUGGUAACUCUCGGCCAGUCUCCACCCAGAUUCCCCCGGGCUCUGGGCCCAGCGUCCGAUUCACUUCAGAGGGAAACAUAGUGUUUCGCUUAUUAAACCUUUAUUGGAUUGAUCCAUUUUUGUGCUACUGAUAUAGGUUAAUUUUUAACAGUUAAUUUGUUUCACUGUACCCAAAAAUGUACGAUUAUAAUAAUAAUAAAUGGCGUUUGAGUUCCUAUACCAGCUAAUGGUUCAUACUCCUCACCCCAACAGUAUAUGGAGUAACAUGUGACCAUUAUUGUCGUUGCUAAAUAUAAUUAUAGCUAACAGCUUUCAUUAAUUGUAGUGAGUGAUAAGAUUGUUACACUAGUUACAACCAUGUGCUUCCAGUGUUGUUGAUAUGAGUUUCCCUUGCAGUUAAUGGGUGUGGCCCAUGUAAGGGUGCACAGUAGCCCCAUAUAGGUGAGCCUGUUGCAUGGAGGAGGAACGUGGUUGGAGUGCGGAGAAUGGCCCCCCUCACCCCACGCUGGCUUAUUAUCUGACUGGCUGUAUGAUUGGCUCCGUGGUGAUGUGGGAAUUUGGUAACCCUCGGCCAGUCUCCACCCAGAUUCCCCCGGGCUCUGGGGCCAGCGUCACCAUGAUACGAUUCACUCCAGAGGGAAACAAAUAUGGAGUGACUGACAACAGUGGCAAGCUGUCGCUAUGGCAAGGGAUACACACAGCUGCCCGCAAGCCCUACCACUCUCUCUACUCUGGUAUGAAGCACCUCAGUGACUUUCUGUUCCUCGGCUCCUCCAGUUUCAUAGCAACCUGUGGGGACGGCAGCGACAACAGCUUGAAUCCACGUGGAAGUCGGUAAGGAUCAUGAGUCCCAAAAGUAAACCAUUGUGCCGGUCCAUGACGUAUGGAUACAUACAAACAAAAUUGCAACGGUGGAAGUCGGCAAGGAUCAUGAGUCCCAAAAGCAAAUCAUUGUGCCGGUCCAUGACGUAUGGAUACAUACAUACAUACAGACAAAAUUGCAACAUUGAAGACUAGGUAAACUAAAGAGGGGUCUCAACAAGCUUAGAUAGCUAGCUGCUCAGACGAGGAGGCGAAAGAUCAGUUCUCUGGGUGACCAUACUAUACAAGAGAUUGCAUGGCGGAACAUAACUAUGUGCAGUUUGAAUAAGAUUUGCCAUGGCGACCAGUACCUUCCACACUCGCUAGUGACUACUUAGACUAUAACAUUAAAUAUUGUGUACAUGCAUGAUGUUGACUUUUACUACAUGUGCUUAUGCUUAUGUAUACAU
Halichondria panicea is the source of this 1984-nucleotide RNA transcript. It is a transcript of the gene named dmX-like protein 2, with no coding region annotated. The record is from RefSeq and is a predicted model, not a curated record. The transcript is spliced from 8 exons. Lineage: Eukaryota; Metazoa; Porifera; Demospongiae; Suberitida; Halichondriidae.